CUAGUUGGCGGGGUAACGGCCCACCAAGGCUAUGACGGGUAGCUGGUCUGAGAGGACGACCAGUCACACGGGGACUGAGACACGGCCCCGACUCCUACGGGAGGCAGCAGUGGGGAAUUUUCCGCAAUGGGCGAAAGCCUGACGGAGUGACGCCGCGUGUGGGACGAAGGCCUUCGGGUCGUAAACCACUGUCAGUGGGAAAGAAGGGUGUCGGCACUAAUACCGCCGGCAUUUGACGGUACCUGCAGAGGAAGCCCCGGCCAACUCUGUGCCAGCAGCCGCGGUAAGACAGAGGGGGCAAGCGUUGCUCGGAAUUACUGGGCGUAAAGGGCGCGUAGGCGGGAUGGCAAGUCGGUCGUGAAAUCCUUCGGCUCAACCGAAGAACGUCGAUCGAUACUGCCGUUCUUGAGGGUUGCAGAGGAGACUGGAAUUCCCGGUGUAGCGGUGAAAUGUGUAGAGAUCGGGAGGAACACCGGUGGCGAAGGCGGGUCUCUGGGCAAUUCCUGACGCUGAGGCGCGAAAGCGUGGGGAGCAAACGGGAUUAGAUACCCCGGUAGUCCACGCUGUAAACGAUGACGACUAGGUGUGGGGGGGUUCAGUCCCCUCCGUGCCGCAGCUAACGCAUUAAGUCGUCCGCCUGGGGAGUACGGCCGCAAGGUUGAAACUCAAAGGAAUUGACG
This 680-nucleotide ribosomal RNA is filed under the name uncultured bacterium. RNAcentral describes it as "SSU rRNA". It matches the Rfam family "Bacterial small subunit ribosomal RNA", at positions 245 to 915 of the family's 1533-position model. The record is from RNAcentral.